UGUAGAUCUUUAAUGUUAUCAAGAAUAAGCGAUCUUUAUCAUAUUGACAGUUAUAUAUGCAUAUUUCAAAAAAUAAUUGGGAUAUUUUUAUACAAAAUUUAAAGAAAACAUUUACAAAUAUAAUGUUAAAAAACAUUAUGAUUUAUAUCUCAAAAAUAAGUUUAUAUAUAGAGGCCAAAAUGGGAUAUGAAAAAGUUUGUAUCUCAAAGUUUGUAUAUAGAGCAGUUUGUAAAUCAAGGCACUACUGUUUAGCAAUCUGUGAUGAUUAUGAUUGACAAUUUGUGCAUUUUGUGGUGGUUCUGAUCAUUUAGAAAUUAUGUAAUGAUUAUUUUGCAGCUGAUUUCAGACAGAUUUGCACAUCUGAUGAUUGCUUGCAUCUGGUUGGCUUUCCACUCUUGUCAAUUCCAGCAAAAUUUCCAUUGUCUAUUUUGAUUCUAAUUUUAUCAUCAUUUAAACUUUAUUAAAUAUUUUUCAUUAAGACUUUGAAAUAAUAGAAAGUUAAAAUAUUUUUAUUUGAUAUUUUCUGUUGAACAAACAUUUCUAUAAAAUUGUAUUGUAGAGAAAUAUGAUACAACAUGAAAUGAUGAUCAUAUUCUAACUUAUAAAUAAAGGCACUCACAGAGGUAUAACAAGGACUUUAAUAUAGAGGUGAACAGGCAUUUUUGGUGCAGUGCACCGUCAUCAGGUUCUGAUGGUGGCAAAUUGCGCCAAAAAUGUUUGUUCGUUUCUGUAUUGAAGUUUUUCUUGUGCUGCUGUGAGUGCUUUUAUUUAUAGUAGAAAUUAAAAUAAGGUGGAUAGUAGUAAUUAAAGUAAAGCAAGAUCACAUCUAUUCUCCAUUCAGUAUUUUUUUUU
RNAcentral lists this long non-coding RNA (852 nucleotides) under Androctonus crassicauda. Lineage: Eukaryota; Metazoa; Arthropoda; Arachnida; Scorpiones; Buthidae. The record is from RNAcentral.